GUCUCUGUGGCGCAAUCGGUUAGCGCGUUCGGCUGUUAACCGAAUGGCUGUUGCUUCAAGCCCACCCAGUGACG
RNAcentral lists this transfer RNA (74 nucleotides) under Saccoglossus kowalevskii. RNAcentral describes it as "tRNA-Asn". It matches the Rfam family "tRNA". From Rfam's summary of the family: Transfer RNA (tRNA) molecules are approximately 80 nucleotides in length. Their secondary structure includes four short double-helical elements and three loops (D, anti-codon, and T loops). The record is from RNAcentral. Lineage: Eukaryota; Metazoa; Hemichordata; Enteropneusta; Harrimaniidae.